UAUCCGCCCGGGUACUACAAGCACAGCUUAAAACCCAAAGGACUUGGCGGUGCUUCAGAUCCACCUAGAGGAGCCUGUUCUAGAACCGAUAAUCCCCGUUAAACCUCACCACCUCUUGUGUAAUACCGCCUAUAUACCGCCGUCGUCAGCUUACCCUAUGAGGGUAAAAUAGUAAGCAAAAAGGACACACUCCAAAACGUCAGGUCGAGGUGUAGCGUACGAAGUGGGAAGAAAAUGGGCUACAUUUUCUAUAUACAGAAUAUUACGAAUAGCUCUAUGAAAUAUUACGCCUGAAGGAGGAUUUAGUAGUAAAAGACAAUAGAG
RNAcentral lists this ribosomal RNA (324 nucleotides) under Callichthys callichthys (cascarudo). RNAcentral describes it as "partial 12S ribosomal RNA". It matches the Rfam family "Bacterial small subunit ribosomal RNA", at positions 866 to 1352 of the family's 1533-position model. Lineage: Eukaryota; Metazoa; Chordata; Actinopteri; Siluriformes; Callichthyidae. The record is from RNAcentral.